Molecule: transfer RNA, 66 nt
Organism: Operophtera brumata (winter moth)
Lineage: Eukaryota; Metazoa; Arthropoda; Insecta; Lepidoptera; Geometridae
Rfam family: tRNA
About the family: Transfer RNA (tRNA) molecules are approximately 80 nucleotides in length.
Source: Rfam
CUGUAUACUUCUAUAUCGAAGGUUUGCCUGCGACGCAGAAGUUUGCGGGUUCGAUUCCCGCUUCGG